UCCCUUGUGGCUCAGAUGGUAAAGCGUCUGCCUGCAAUGCGGGAGACCUGGGUUCGAUUCCUGGGUCAGGAA
RNAcentral lists this transfer RNA (72 nucleotides) under Ovis aries (sheep). It matches the Rfam family "tRNA". Rfam says of the family: Transfer RNA (tRNA) molecules are approximately 80 nucleotides in length. Lineage: Eukaryota; Metazoa; Chordata; Mammalia; Artiodactyla; Bovidae. The record is from Rfam by way of RNAcentral.